RNAcentral lists this ribosomal RNA (495 nucleotides) under uncultured bacterium. RNAcentral's name for it is "partial 16S ribosomal RNA". It matches the Rfam family "Bacterial small subunit ribosomal RNA", at positions 28 to 507 of the family's 1533-position model. The record is from RNAcentral.
GACGAACGCUGGCGGCGUGCCUAAUACAUGCAAGUAGAACGCUGAAGGAGGAGCUUGCUUCUCUGGAUGAGUUGCGAACGGGUGAGUAACGCGUAGGUAACCUGCCUGGUAGCGGGGGAUAACUAUUGGAAACGAUAGCUAAUACCGCAUAAUAGUAGAUGUUGCAUGACAUUUGCUUAAAAGGUGCAAUUGCAUCACUACCAGAUGGACCUGCGUUGUAUUAGCUAGUUGGUGAGGUAACGGCUCACCAAGGCGACGAUACAUAGCCGACCUGAGAGGGGGAUCGGCCACACUGGGACUGAGACACGGCCCAGACUCCUACGGGAGGCAGCAGUAGGGAAUCUUCGGCAAUGGACGGAAGUCUGACCGAGCAACGCCGCGUGAGUGAAGAAGGUUUUCGGAUCGUAAAGCUCUGUUGUAAGAGAAGAACGAGUGUGAGAGUGGAAAGUUCACACUGUGACGGUAUCUUACCAGAAAGGGACGGCUAACUACGUG